UACAGACCCGUAGAGUUGGAAUCUCCAAGCC
RNAcentral lists this non-coding RNA (31 nucleotides) under Mus musculus (house mouse). Lineage: Eukaryota; Metazoa; Chordata; Mammalia; Rodentia; Muridae. The record is from RNAcentral.